RNAcentral lists this ribosomal RNA (369 nucleotides) under Rhinella ornata. Its description in RNAcentral is "partial 16S ribosomal RNA". It matches the Rfam family "Bacterial large subunit ribosomal RNA", at positions 1994 to 2515 of the family's 2925-position model. The record is from RNAcentral. Lineage: Eukaryota; Metazoa; Chordata; Amphibia; Anura; Bufonidae.
GAAUGGCACCACGAGGGUUAUACUGUCUCCUUUUUCUAAUCAGUGAAACUAAUCUCCCCGUGAAGAAGCGGGGAUACAUCUAUAAGACGAGAAGACCCUAUGGAGCUUUAAACAACACAGCAAUUACCUACUGAACUAUAAAUUUCCGAAUACCUUAACCUUUUUAAGUAAUCUGACUGCAAGUUUUUGGUUGGGGUGACCACGGAGCAUAACACAACCUCCAUGCUGAAAGAAUUUUUUCUAAGCUAAGAACAACCUGUCUAAGCAUCAAUAUAUUGACAUCCAUUGACCCAAUACAUUUGACCAACGAACCAAGUUACCCUAGGGAUAACAGCGCAAUCCACUUCAAGAGCUCCUAUCGACAAGUGG